CCUGCCCCUAGAAACACAGCAGGUGUGGCUGCUGUGUCACAUGUGCAUCAGUAGGUGGCAGAGAGGACAGAGAGUGUGUCUACACUCAAUGUUCUAACCUGUGAACAUCUGAAGAAAGAAAGCCUGAUCAG
This is a small nucleolar RNA of Grammomys surdaster, 131 nucleotides long. RefSeq annotates it as small nucleolar RNA SNORA17. Lineage: Eukaryota; Metazoa; Chordata; Mammalia; Rodentia; Muridae. The record is from RefSeq and is a predicted model, not a curated record. The transcript has a single exon.